This 483-nucleotide ribosomal RNA is filed under the name uncultured bacterium. Its description in RNAcentral is "partial 16S ribosomal RNA". It matches the Rfam family "Bacterial small subunit ribosomal RNA", at positions 28 to 523 of the family's 1533-position model. The record is from RNAcentral.
GACGAACGCUGGCGGCGUGCUUAACACAUGCAAGUCGAACGAUGAUGCCCAGCUUGCUGGGUGGAUUAGUGGCGAACGGGUGAGUAACACGUGAGUAACCUGCCCCUGACUCUGGGAUAAGCGUUGGAAACGACGUCUAAUACUGGAUACGACUGCCGGCCGCAUGGUCUGGUGGUGGAAAGAUUUUUUGGUUGGGGAUGGACUCGCGGCCUAUCAGCUUGUUGGUGAGGUAAUGGCUCACCAAGGCGACGACGGGUAGCCGGCCUGAGAGGGUGACCGGCCACACUGGGACUGAGACACGGCACAGACUCCUACGGGAGGCAGCAGUGGGGAAUAUUGCACAAUGGGCGAAAGCCUGAUGCAGCAACGCCGAGUGAGGGAUGACGGCCUUCGGGUUGUAAACCUCUUUUAGUAGGGAAGAAGCGAAAGUGACGGUACCUGCAGAAAAAGCACCGGCUAACUACGUGCCAGCCGCCGCCGUAA